This 1419-nucleotide ribosomal RNA is filed under the name Allobates sp. Cruzeiro do Sul. Its description in RNAcentral is "partial 16S ribosomal RNA". It matches the Rfam family "Bacterial large subunit ribosomal RNA", at positions 373 to 2597 of the family's 2925-position model. The record is from RNAcentral. Lineage: Eukaryota; Metazoa; Chordata; Amphibia; Anura; Aromobatidae.
CCAAAUCUUUAGCCACAUAAAUCCUUAUAAUAACCCACUAACUUAUUCCUUUAAUUUAAAACAUUCUCUUAAUUAAGUAAAGGCGAUAAAAAAAUUUCUUAGAGCGAUAUAAAUAGUACCGUAAGGGAACACUGAAAUAAAAAUGAAAUAACUUUUAAGCAUAAAAAAGUAGAGUUCACCCCUUGUACCUUUUGCAUCAUGGUUUAACUAGUCCCCCUUAGGCAAAAAGACUUUUAGUCUAACCCCCCGAACCUAGGCGAGCUACUUUAAGACAACUUCUAGAGCCAACCCGUCUCUGUAGCAAAAGAGUGGGAAGAUCUUAUAAUAGCGGUGACAGACCAAACGAGCCUAGUGAUAGCUGGUUGCUUUUUAAAAGGAUUUUAGUCCAACUUAAAGUUAUAAUUAUUCUAAAAAAUCUACUUUAAAGUCAUUCAAAUAAGGUUCAGCCUAUUUGAAAAAGGGUACAACCUUUACCACUGGGUCACCUUACGUCAUUUAACAAAGUAGGCCUAAAAGCAGCCACCUCAAAAAAGCGUCAUAGCUUAAUUUUCCAAUUUAUAUAAUUCCCAUGACUUCACUCAACCCUUCACCACCAAAAAGCAAUUCCAUACACUUAUAGAAAAUUUUAUGUUAAAACUAGUAACAAGAAGCCAGCCCUUCUCUUAAAUGUACCUAUAUACCUACAUGGACCCUCCAUAGAUAAUUAACGUUUAUAAUUCCAUAGUAUUUUUUUCCCCGAAAACCCUACUAUUAUUAACGUCAACCUAACACAAGAGCAUUGAAAGAAAGAUUAAAAGAUAAAGAAGGAACUCGGCAAACCAUUAGCCCCGCCUGUUUACCAAAAACAUCGCCUCUUGACUAACUAUAAGAGGUCAAGCCUGCCCAGUGACAUUGUUCAACGGCCGCGGUAUCCUAACCGUGCGAAGGUAGCGUAAUCACUUGUUCUUUAAAUGAGGACUAGUAUGAACGGCUUCACGAGGGCUAUGCUGUCUCCUUUAUCCAAUCAGUUAAACUAAUCUCCCCGUGAAGAAGCGGGGAUACUUCUAUAAGACGAGAAGACCCUAUGGAGCUUUAAACAUUUUAAACACUUGAAUCUUUAUUAUUUUAACCUUCAGAAAAUUUCAUUAAACCUCUCAUUCUGUUUUAAGUUUUAGGUUGGGGUGACCACGGAGAAUAAUCUAACCUCCACGUAGAAAGAAACUUCCUUUCCAAGCAAAAAACCACAUCUUUAUGCAUCAAGAUAUUGACUUAAAUUGACCCAAUUUUUUGAUCAACGAACCAAGUUACCCUAGGGAUAACAGCGCAAUCCGCUUUAAGAGCUCCUAUCGACAAGCGGGCUUACGACCUCGAUGUUGGAUCAGGGUAUCCCAGUGGUGCAGCAGCUACUAAUGUGUUCGUUUGUUCAACGAUUAAAACCCU